Molecule: long non-coding RNA, 301 nt
Filed under: Elaeis guineensis (African oil palm)
Lineage: Eukaryota; Viridiplantae; Streptophyta; Magnoliopsida; Arecales; Arecaceae
Description: long non-coding RNA (EGUI_LNC029303)
Source: RNAcentral
CCCCCUUCUUUGAGAGUCGUGCUUGGAACUGGGUGGCAAAUACCGAUGAGGGGUUUGCUUGAUGGAUACGUUAGGCUUCUGGGGAGGCUUGCCGUGAAUGCAAAUUGGAUUAUCGGCGGGAUGCGAGGCUUUUAAAAGCUGAGACACCGGUCGCUUUGGAGCUGCCCCCGCCGUCCGUUUGACCUUGAAGUUUGUUGAAAGAUAUAAUUAUAUAUUUCGAGAUCUCCAACCUAUCGUAACAAAAUUACUAUUAGCUUUAAAAUCUGGAUAUUAAUUAAAUAACUAUCAUCUGUGUAUGAUA